ACCACGUUCAUCCAGCUUUAGAGCUCGGAAUUACCUAUUGAAGCUCAGAUCCGGUUGAACACUGUGUACUUAGCAUCUGUACUGAAUGACAUUGUGCCCCUCGCUCGGCUCCUGGAUUUUAACUUGCAUUUUGUGGAGUCAGGGUCAAGUGAUGCUAAAAGUCAAGGUUUUCGUGAAGGGAGAAAUGCCUUGGUUUAACAGCAGGUUCCCAGCAUACAGAAUUACCACCGAAUUUAAAAAGUUUAAGCUCUUUAGUAAAGCUUCUGACAUGUUAAUGGCUGCAAACCACUGCAGUCCACUUUGCAGAGUCAGUGGUGCUGAUUAUCUCGCUGCUGUCAUGUUCUUGAAGUUGCCUGUAUAUUAAGCUCUGAGAAGAAAAAAACAUGCAGUGUUGUUAAAUAACAAAAUCAAAACUACAUAGUGAAUAAUAUAUUCAGUACAAAAAGUUACCAAAUGUUGAGGAUUUUAAAUAAAAUAACACUUGUGCAGGGUUAAUGUUGGUGUUCAUUUUGGUAAAUAUGUUGCCUACAGUUAAUCCAUUACGUUUCAGUCUCUGAAGUUUGCUAACAGUUGUAUAGACAAAGCUUUUGUCUGAUCUCAGAGAAGCCAGAAUUGUAAAAAGCCUUCAGAGGUCUUAAGAAUGUCUGUUCUCCUUUUUGUGUCAGUGCUGCAUUCUGGUGCUGGUGCAGCGCAGCGUUGUUGCACUAGCUCCUCAUGGACACAGCUGAGUUGGUACAGUCAAGUAGUCUUAGGUGCGUAUUUGUCUUUUUAAAGAUGAAGGAGCUGUUGUAAAACUCUGAGGUUAGAUUUCUGCAUUGAUGGACCUGUCUCUGUCUGGAAGUUCCUGGGCACUAGUUGUUUUCUUUUCACCGUGUGGUUUUCUGCAGACACAAGCACCAUGCCAUUUGUUUCGUUGCAGAUUACAUGAUGAGGUCUGUGGGUCUAAAUCCGGUGUGGCACUGAGUGCUGAAGUCAGAGGAGUUGCAAGAAAGCCUUCUAGAAGGAGCACUCAGCAUGUGACAAAAAUGUCUUGGAAAUAGUCGUGCACUGUACAGGGGCCAGCUGAGCCCUGCAUCAACUCAUGCAAUAGAGGAUCUGAUCCCACGCUGCUCAUGCAGGCAAUAUCCUAGCUGAAAUCUAUGGCAUCGUCACAGGCGUAAAGAGCAGAGUGUGACCCAGAGUGGAAGUUGGAGUGCUCAUGGAUUACCUUUACCUCCUCAGGGGAGCGGAACGCAGCAGCACGAGCGUGGUUGUGACAACACAGAGGUGCACUGGGUGCACAGUGCUGUCAGUACCAAAUUAACUCGGGCCUGACACGUUCCCUGCUGGUGCUGCACGGCUUGUAGUGUGUGUUCCAAUAACUCCAUGGGGAAGUGUGAGCACUUUGCAUGGGCCUGCUGUGCCCCCAGCCUUUAUUACUGACACCAGUCCAAAUUACUGGUGCUCGUCAGCCGUCAGUCUGCUCACACUUUGGGGUGAGGGCAGAGCAGCCUCAUUUCCAAUACCAGUGCACAGAUCCCUGGAGGAGAUAAAGGUGCUCUCGGUGUUGUAAAAGCAGCGUUAGGUUUUAUGCACGGCGCUCGUUCAGGUGGUGUCCGGGUAGGCUGGGUGUGUGCAGAUGGGGGUCACUCUGUUGUGCUGGGAGGGGACAACCCCGUUCUGCAGGAGCUGCACUCCGUGCCGUUCGCGUUGCGAUCACACCAAGCAUGUUGGUGAUACAAUACUGUGCAUAGGAAUCCCUUUAAAGGUUUUGUGCAAUAAACUAUUUUUGGUAAAG
Gallus gallus (chicken) is the source of this 1777-nucleotide long non-coding RNA. NCBI's taxonomy places the organism in Eukaryota, Metazoa, Chordata, Aves, Galliformes, Phasianidae. The record is from Ensembl.